UACGUAGGGUGCAAGCGUUGUCCGGAAUUAUUGGGCGUAAAGAGCUCGUAGGCGGUCUGUCGCGUCGGCUGUGAAAUCCCGAGGCUCAACCUCGGGUCUGCAGUCGGUACGGGCAAACUAGAGUAUUGCAGGGGAGACUGGAAUUCCUGGUGUAGCGGUGAAAUGCGCAGAUAUCAGGAGGAACACCGGUGGCGAAGGCGGGUCUCUGGGCAAUAACUGACGCUGAGGAGCGAAAGCGUGGGGAGCGAACAGG
RNAcentral lists this ribosomal RNA (253 nucleotides) under uncultured bacterium. Its description in RNAcentral is "partial 16S ribosomal RNA". It matches the Rfam family "Bacterial small subunit ribosomal RNA", at positions 524 to 776 of the family's 1533-position model. The record is from RNAcentral.